UGGGGAAUUUUGGACAAUGGGCGAAAGCCUGAUCCAGCCAUGCCGCGUGAGUGAAGAAGGCCUUCGGGUUGUAAAGCUCUUUUAGUCGGAAAGAAAGAGUCGCAAUGAAUAAUUGUGAUUUAUGACGGUACCGACAGAAAAAGCACCGGCUAACUACGUGCCAGCAGCCGCGGUAAUACGUAGGGUGCGAGCGUUAAUCGGAAUUACUGGGCGUAAAGGGUGCGCAGGCGGUUUUGCAAGUCAGAUGUGAAAGCCCCGGGCUUAACCUGGGAAUUGCGUUUGAAACUACAAGGCUAGAGUGCAGCAGAGGGGAGUGGAAUUCCAUGUGUAGCAGUGAAAUGCGUAGAGAUGUGGAAGAACACCGAUGGCGAAGGCAGCUCCCUGGGUUGACACUGACGCUCA
This 402-nucleotide ribosomal RNA is filed under the name uncultured bacterium. Its description in RNAcentral is "bacterial SSU rRNA". It matches the Rfam family "Bacterial small subunit ribosomal RNA", at positions 355 to 749 of the family's 1533-position model. The record is from RNAcentral.